Molecule: ribosomal RNA, 465 nt
Filed under: uncultured bacterium
Lineage: Bacteria
Description: partial 16S ribosomal RNA
Rfam family: Bacterial small subunit ribosomal RNA
Source: RNAcentral
GACGAACGCUGGCGGCGUGCUUAACACAUGCAAGUCGAACGGAAAGGCCCUGCUUGCAGGGUACUCGAGUGGCGAACGGGUGAGUAACACGUGGGUGAUCUGCCCUGCACUUCGGGAUAAGCCUGGGCAACUGGGUCUAAUACCGGAUAGGAGCCAUUUUUAGUGUGAUGGUUGGAAAGUUUUUUCGGUGUAGGAUGAGCUCGCGGCCUAUCAGCUUGUUGGUGGGGUAAUGGCCUACCAAGGCGGCGACGGGUAGCCGGCCUGAGAGGGUGGACGGCCACAUUGGGACUGAGAGACGGCCCAGACUCCUACGGGAGGCAGCAGUGGGGAAUAUUGCACAAUGGGCGCAAGCCUGAGGCAGCGACGCCGCGUGGGGGAUGACGGCCUUCGGGUUGUAAACUCCGUUCGCUAGGGACGAAGCUUUUUGUGACGGUACCUAGAUAAGAAGCACCGGCUAACUACGUG